Molecule: transfer RNA, 85 nt
Filed under: Alphaproteobacteria bacterium
Lineage: Bacteria; Pseudomonadati; Pseudomonadota; Alphaproteobacteria
Description: tRNA-Leu
Rfam family: tRNA
About the family: Transfer RNA (tRNA) molecules are approximately 80 nucleotides in length. Their secondary structure includes four short double-helical elements and three loops (D, anti-codon, and T loops).
Source: RNAcentral
GCCCCUGUGGUGGAAUUGGUAGACGCGCCGCACUCAAAAUGCGGUUCCUUCGGGAGUGCGAGUUCGAGUCUCGCUGGGGGCACCA